Molecule: ribosomal RNA, 429 nt
Filed under: uncultured bacterium
Lineage: Bacteria
Description: bacterial SSU rRNA
Rfam family: Bacterial small subunit ribosomal RNA
Source: RNAcentral
UGGGGAAUAUUGGACAAUGGGCGAAAGCCUGAUCCAGCAACGCCGCGUGGGUGAUGAAGGCCUUCGGGUCGUAAAGCCCUGUCAGCAGGGAAGAAACCUCUUUGUCCUAACAUGACAAAGAAUUGACGGUACCUGCGGAGGAAGCACCGGCUAACUCCGUGCCAGCAGCCGCGGUAAAACGGAGGGUGCAAGCGUUGUUCGGAAUUACUGGGCGUAAAGCGCGUGCAGGUGGUUUUUUAAGUUCUGUGUGAAAUCCCUCGGCUCAACCGAGGAACGGCGCAGAAUACUGAAGAACUUGAAUACGGGAGAAGUGGGCGGAAUUCCCAGUGUAGAGGUGAAAUUCGUAGAUAUUGGGAGGAACACCGGUGGCGAAAGCGGCUCACUAGACCGAUAUUGACGCUCAUACGCGAGAGCAUGGGUAGCAAACAG